Molecule: RNA transcript, 737 nt
Organism: Chrysemys picta bellii (western painted turtle)
Lineage: Eukaryota; Metazoa; Chordata; Testudines; Emydidae
Source: RefSeq, a predicted model, not a curated record
UGAUGGAGCCUGGGCUGCAGGAUGAUGGGUUUGAUUAAUAACAUCAUCUUAAUAAAAUUUUUAAAUCUGUUCUUAUUAAAGAAAUCACCCCCGCUCCUUCCCUCACUGGCUUGCCGCAAGGGCGCCUGGGAGUUGUAGUUUCUCUGUACCCUAUGAAAGCCGCAAGAGGGACAUCAUGAUCCUGUCCAGAAGAGCAGAGCACCCAAUAAUGUUCUCCAGUGGAGCUGAUUUCCUGACCCCCCUGUCACCCUCGCUUGGCUCAUUAAAACGUCUCUUUGAGUGACGAUGGCCGACGAGAGACUGACGUGGCUGGCUGUUUAUCUCUUGAAAAUGCCAUUGGCCAGGCUUUGGAUCUCUCUGACCCUGUGCUUCAGUUCAAGAGGGCAAAGGAAUAGCACAAGAGCUCAGCCUGUGCUGGAAAAGAAACUGCUGGAGCCCAGGCUGCAAUGGAAACAAUAAUAAGCUAGCUGUACAGACAUGCUCUUUGAAACACAGCUUGCCUUCCUUCAGGCUGCCAAUUUGAAGUCAUGGUAACUUCCUGCAAGAGGGCGGAUUGCACAGGAGAGAGAUGAACAAGGUGUGGCCUCCCUCUGCACACGCUGGAAAGGAGAACCUGAGAAGAGGGAUUUCCUGGUGAGCUUCCUCACACUGCACAAAGGGCCUGAAGGUGAGGACUGUGAGCAAAGGGAAUGACCCAUCACUGUUAAGUAGAGGGGAAAAUGCUAAUAAACAACAUG